Molecule: ribosomal RNA, 430 nt
Filed under: Stephanostomum sp. 2 AN-2018
Lineage: Eukaryota; Metazoa; Platyhelminthes; Trematoda; Opisthorchiida; Acanthocolpidae
Description: partial 12S ribosomal RNA
Source: RNAcentral
UUGAAGUGUGUUUUGAGUUAUGAGGUUUGGGGGGUAGAAUCUUGAACUUGUUGUAUAUUGCUUAAAAGGUUAUUCUCUUGAAGUGCUUAGUUAGGAAAAGGAUUAGAGACCCUUGUACUGAGAUAAGGUGAUUUUAGGGCUUUAGUAUAAACUAAAAGGAUUUGGCAGCCGAUGAGAUUCGUCCGGGGGAGUGUGUUCUUUAAGAGAUAGUCCACUUAAGAGUUGACCACCCCUAUUUUGUUAGUGUAUAUCCGGUUAAAGAUUCGUGAUUUCUGUCAUUGGGUGGAUUUAGGAGUUUAGUGAAGCCAGGUCGAUGUGCUGCUAGUGGGGUGGUAGUAAAUGCACUACAUUUAUAAUAUUUUGCUUGGAAAUUAGUAGAUAAUUAAGGACUCGGAAGUAGGCGAUGACUAAAGUUAGGUUUGUCGAAGUU